This is a long non-coding RNA of Micropterus salmoides (largemouth bass), 1794 nucleotides long. RefSeq lists it as uncharacterized. The transcript is spliced from 2 exons. The record is from RefSeq and is a predicted model, not a curated record. NCBI's taxonomy places the organism in Eukaryota, Metazoa, Chordata, Actinopteri, Centrarchiformes, Centrarchidae.
UUUAACCUUCUGGCCCCAUCAUGGUCAUUUUUGAUCUUUUCAGUUGUUAUUUCUUUGACCAUUUUGGCUUACUUAAUGGAAAUGGUUUGUAAUUUGGCAAAGUUGUUAAUUUUUGGAUUUUUUUUAAAAUUUUGAUCCCAUGUUGCAGAAUAUGUGUAUUAAACACUGAUUAUUUUCAAUACCGACAUGUAGUACGUUUCGAUCAAAAUUGAUCUCAUUAACGCCCAUUAAAACGUCAUGUACGCCUCGCGCCGUCAUUAAUUAAUGAAUCAUGACUUAUGUUGAAACAUACUUUUAUUUUGAAGGAAAAACAUAAAAUUUGUACUGUAUAGUGUUUUCCACCAGAUGGCGGUACUAUUUUGGUAAGCCCUAUGGGGGGAUAUGCAUGUUAUUUUCCUGGUGUCCAGUAGGGGGACUGUUGACUGUUAUGAAUCAUUUUUACGUCUUUGAAUGAUCUAAAAUUAUGUUUCAGAAGAUGUGUGGGUGUCUGGGAGUGACGUGAGUGUGCAUUGAUAAAUGUGUGUGCGUGUGUGUUUGUGUAUAGGGCGUUUUUAUCUAAAAUUAGUUUAUGCGAGAGACCAAAAUCACAGAGCCCCGCCGGUCAUGUUUUACCUUCUCCGCCUGUCUGUCCUCUCCUCUCUCUAUUUCAUACAUCGAAGCACAAUUACACAGAACCUAACUCUCACACACGCAUGCAAGCACGUACAGGUUAAUGGGUAAGCCUUCAAAGACUCCAAAAUAUGAAAAAUUAUCGAGCCACUUGCAUGAUUGUGGUCUGUUUUAGCGGUUACGGCUGCAGAGCUUCGAACGAGAGUGUAUGUAGGUUUCUGUGGGUGUGUCUGUUUCUCGCUCUGUGUGUGUGUGUGUGUGUGUGUGUGUGUGUGUGUGUGUGUGUGUGUGUAUUUCUAUAUUUGUGAGGACCUCAAAACAUGUUCGCUCAUCUGAGCGAAAGCAGCGUACCAGCCAUUGUUUUUCGUCGUUCUGUCAUGCGUAUUUUACGCACAGACAUAUAACUCUGAAAUGGCUGCAGUUUUUGUGCAGUUUAUCGUUCAAAAAGACAGGAUAAUGUCUCCCUUACGUAGAAGCUCGGCCUCUCAGACUGGUGUGUGUGUGUGUGUGUGUGUGUGAACAGGGUGUAACCCAACACCGCGGUGACGUAAUGCAGCUGAGUAUUCUCCGGGGGCUGACAAAAUGGCUGAGAGGGCAGCGCGCAGAGGAGACGGUAGAUUGUAAAUAGAAAGCGAAAAAUGAACCUAAGAAACGCUGAAAGGACACCCUGUAACAUGAAGUCGGCCUAGCAAAACCGACACAUUAUGCCACCGCUUGCGUCGUCAACUCUGCAUACGCAUUUGGGAUUUUGUCGCUGAAGAAACGGACCUGGGCAAGCCAACUGGCUCGACACUCCCCUACUUUUUCAUGCGAAUACACAGCAGCAGAAACAAUACCUCCAGCUGGAUAUUUGUCCAUACCAACAGGCUUCUUCCAGACCACACCGCAGAUAUUGGACACCGGCUACAUAAGGAGUGGCGAAUAAACAUGUUACAUCUGGACACCUAGACUGUAUGCAUCUGCCAGAAAAGGAUAUGUGGUGUGCUAUGUGGUGGAAAACACUGAAAACUCAUUUUUUGGUCCUCUGGCUUGGGAAUGAGAAUGUAUUUGAAUAUAAAUCAUGAUGUUAUGAUUGUAGGAUCAGACAUGUACUUUUUAAUAGGUUUCAAUGGGUCUUAUGAGCCUUGGUGUUUUUUUACAUCUAAAUCUGAUACAGCACAAAAAAUAAAAAUGCACCAAAAUCAA